CUGUACACAGGCUUGCUGUAUUAUUAUAUUUUUGUGGUAGCUAUGCAUCCAUUGUGAAAACAAAAAUGUUAUGUUAAUAUUUUUUCAAACAUAAAAGUGCUUGGUAGUAAAGGGGUUAAGUGUGUGUUUCACAGAAGAUUUGCCAAUAAUAAAAGAUUCUAAUCUAAUGUAGAUCUAAUUUUCCCUUGAAUGUGAUUCAACAUGUGGAUGAAUAGUUAGAACACCUGCUCCUAAUUAAUUCAUUCUUAAUCUAUCAAUUACCUUAUCUAGUGGGUGAUCAAAUAUGUGAUAUUGAGCAAUGUAAUAAAAUAUAUAAUCAAAUAUUAUACAGUGAAGCAGACUCAUUUCUCUAAAGGGUGUUGAAGGAAAACCCAAUAUCUAAUUACAUGUAUAAUAAU
This is a non-coding RNA of Pelobates cultripes (western spadefoot toad), 398 nucleotides long. NCBI's taxonomy places the organism in Eukaryota, Metazoa, Chordata, Amphibia, Anura, Pelobatidae. The record is from the annotation of a GenBank genome assembly.